CCUACGGGUGGCUGCAGUGGGGGAUAUUGGACAAUGGGGGAAACCCUGAUCCAGCGAUGCCGCGUGAGGGAAGAAGGUUUUCGGAUUGUAAACCUCUAUCAGCAGGGAAGAAAGUGACGGUACCUGACUAAGAAGCCCCGGCUAACUACGUGCCAGCAGCCGCGGUAAUACGUAGGGGGCAAGCGUUAUCCGGAUUUACUGGGUGUAAAGGGAGCGUAGGCGGCGAUGCAAGUCAGAAGUGAAAGCCCGGGGCUCAACUCCGGGACUGCUUUUGAAACUGUAUGGCUAGAUUGCAGGAGAGGCAAGUGGAAUUCCUAGUGUAGCGGUGAAAUGCGUAGAUAGUAGGAGGAACACCAGUGGCGAAGGCGGCUUGCUGGACUGUAAAUGACGCUGAGGCUCGAAAGCGUGGGGAGCAAACAGGAUUAGAUACCCCUGUAGUC
RNAcentral lists this ribosomal RNA (440 nucleotides) under uncultured bacterium. Its description in RNAcentral is "partial 16S ribosomal RNA". It matches the Rfam family "Bacterial small subunit ribosomal RNA", at positions 338 to 795 of the family's 1533-position model. The record is from RNAcentral.